UGUCGGCAGGCCUAACACAUGCAAGUCGAACGGUAACAGGAAGAAGCUUGCUUCUUUGCUGACGAGUGGCGGACGGGUGAGUAAUGUCUGGGAAACUGCCUGAUGGAGGGGGAUAACUACUGGAAACGGUAGCUAAUACCGCAUAACGUCGCAAGACCAAAGAGGGGGACCUUCGGGCCUCUUGCCAUCGGAUGUGCCCAGAUGGGAUUAGCUAGUAGGUGGGGUAAAGGCUCACCUAGGCGACGAUCCCUAGCUGGUCUGAGAGGAUGACCAGCCACACUGGAACUGAGACACGGUCCAGACUCCUACGGGAGGCAGCAGUGGGGAAUAUUGCACAAUGGGCGCAAGCCUGAUGCAGCCAUGCCGCGUGUAUGAAGAAGGCCUUCGGGUUGUAAAGUACUUUCAGCGGGGAGGAAGGGAGUAAAGUUAAUACCUUUGCUCAUUGACGUUACCCGCAGAAGAAGCACCGGCUAACUCCGUGCCAGCAGCCGCGGUAAUACGGAGGGUGCAAGCGUUAAUCGGAAUUACUGGGCGUAAAGCGCACGCAGGCGGUUUGUUAAGUCAGAUGUGAAAUCCCCGGGCUCAACCUGGGAACUGCAUCUGAUACUGGCAAGCUUGAGUCUCGUAGAGGGGGGUAGAAUUCCAGGUGUAGCGGUGAAAUGCGUAGAGAUCUGGAGGAAUACCGGUGGCGAAGGCGGCCCCCUGGACGAAGACUGACGCUCAGGUGCGAAAGCGUGGGGAGCAAACAGGGUUAGAUACCCUGGUAGUCCACGCCGUAAACGAUGUCGACUUGGAGGUUGUGCCCUUGAGGCGUGGCUUCCGGAGCUAACGCGUUAAGUCGACCGCCUGGGGAGUACGGCCGCAAGGUUAAAACUCAAAUGAAUUGACGGGGGCCCGCACAAGCGGUGGAGCAUGUGGUUUAAUUCGAUGCAACGCGAAGAACCUUACCUGGUCUUGACAUCCACAGAACUUUCCAGAGAUGGAUUGGUGCCUUCGGGAACUGUGAGACAGGUGCUGCAUGGCUGUCGUCAGCUCGUGUUGUGAAAUGUUGGGUUAAGUCCCGCAACGAGCGCAACCCUUAUCCUUUGUUGCCAGCGGUCCGGCCGGGAACUCAAAGGAGACUGCCAGUGAUAAACUGGAGGAAGGUGGGGACGACGUCAAGUCAUCAUGGCCCUUACGACCAGGGCUACACACGUGCUACAAUGGCGCAUACAAAGAGAAGCGACCUCGCGAGAGCAAGCGGACCUCAUAAAGUGCGUCGUAGUCCGGAUUGGAGUCCGCAACUCGACUCCAUGAAGUCGGAAUCGCUAGUAAUCGUGGAUCAGAAUGCCACGGUGAAUACGUUCCCGGGCCUUGUACACACCGCCCGUCACACCAUGGGAGUGGGUUGCAAAAGAAGUAGGUAGCUUAACCUUCGGGAGGGCGCUUACCACUUUGUGAUUCAUGACUGGGGUGAA
This 1457-nucleotide ribosomal RNA is filed under the name uncultured organism. RNAcentral describes it as "SSU rRNA". It matches the Rfam family "Bacterial small subunit ribosomal RNA". The record is from RNAcentral.